CCCGGGUCUUGUACACACCGCCCGUCACACCAUGGGAGUGGGUUUCACCAGAAGUAGGUAGCCUAACCGUAAGGAGGGCGCUUACCACGGUGGGAUUCAUGACUGGGGUG
This 110-nucleotide ribosomal RNA is filed under the name uncultured bacterium. Its description in RNAcentral is "partial 16S ribosomal RNA". It matches the Rfam family "Bacterial small subunit ribosomal RNA", at positions 1373 to 1482 of the family's 1533-position model. The record is from RNAcentral.